GACGAACGCUGGCGGCGUGCUUAACACAUGCAAGUCGAACGGAAAGGCCCUGCUUUUGUGGGGUGCUCGAGUGGCGAACGGGUGAGUAACACGUGAGUAACCUGCCCUUGACUUUGGGAUAACUUCAGGAAACUGGGGCUAAUACCGGAUAGGAGCUCCUGCUGCAUGGUGGGGGUUGGAAAGUUUCGGCGGUUGGGGAUGGACUCGCGGCUUAUCAGCUUGUUGGUGGGGUAGUGGCUUACCAAGGCUUUGACGGGUAGCCGGCCUGAGAGGGUGACCGGCCACAUUGGGACUGAGAUACGGCCCAGACUCCUACGGUAGGCAGCAGUGGGGAAUAUUGCACAAUGGGCGGAAGCCUGAUGCAGCAACGCCGCGUGCGGGAUGACGGCCUUCGGGUUGUGAACCGCUUUCGCCUGUGACGAAGCGUGAGUGACGGUAAUGGGUAAAGAAGCACCGGCUAACUACGUG
This 468-nucleotide ribosomal RNA is filed under the name uncultured bacterium. RNAcentral's name for it is "partial 16S ribosomal RNA". It matches the Rfam family "Bacterial small subunit ribosomal RNA", at positions 28 to 507 of the family's 1533-position model. The record is from RNAcentral.